Molecule: ribosomal RNA, 1007 nt
Filed under: uncultured Neocallimastigales
Lineage: Eukaryota; Fungi; Neocallimastigomycota; Neocallimastigomycetes; Neocallimastigales
Description: partial large subunit ribosomal RNA
Rfam family: Eukaryotic large subunit ribosomal RNA (bases 219-1007)
Source: RNAcentral
GUACACGCUGUGACUAGCAUAUCAAUAAGCGGAGGAAAAGAGGGCUAUUACCUACGCUUAGGAUGUUGACGAGACUGUCGAUCUCAUCUAUACAUGACUCUGUGCAUAUCAAUAAGCGGAGGAAAAGCGCAUUAAAGAUCCAGAUACCUACGCUUAGGAUGUUGACGAGACUGUCGAUCUCAUCUAUACAUGACUCUGUGCAUAUCAAUAAGCGGAGUCAUGUAUAGACUAUCAUCGAGCACGCGCGUGUGGCAUAUCAAUAAGCGGAGGAAAAGAAACUAACAAGGAUUCCCUUAGUAACGGCGAGUGAAGCGGGAAGAGCUCAAAUUUGAAAUCUUCAAGGUUCUACCUUGACGAAUUGUAGUUUAUAGAAGUGUUUUCUGUUAGUAGAGUGGCAAAAGUUCUUUGGAAUAGGACAUCAUAGAGGGUGAGAAUCCCGUAUUUGGUCAUUCUUCUAGCGUUGUGAUACACUCUCAACGAGUCGGAUUGUUUGGGAAUGCAGUCCAAAAUGGGUGGUAAAUUUCAUCUAAAGCUAAAUAUUGGCGAGAGACCGAUAGCGAACAAGUACCGUGAGGGAAAGAUGAAAAGAACUUUGAAAAGAGAGUUAAACAGUACGUGAAAUUGUCAAAAGGGAAGCGCUUGACACCAGUGUUGUUUUUCCGAAAAUCAAUUACGAAUGUUUUAUUUUUGAGAAGUUAUGACUUCAUCGGCUUGCUUCUCUCUUUACGAAACUUUCUUAAUGCACUUUUCGGUUAACAAGUCAACAUCAAUUUCUUUUGUUGUAAAGGGUAUGAGGAAGGUGGCUUUCUUUUCGGAGAAAGUGUUUAUAGCCUUGUACCUCUGCAAUCGGAGAGAUUGAGGUCUGCAGCGUAGAUCCUUCGGGGUUAGAUACAUUUGUGCUAAGUUAUAGCUUUUCAUAGACAACUUGUUGACUAUGUUAAGUCUUGUAGCUUACUCGCUUAUGCUAUUUUACCUACGCUUAGGAUGUUGAGUAGCGACAUACGCAC